CCAGGGUCAAUCAAUGCAAUCACAUUAGUAUCAAAUAGAGUGAAAGUACCAGUGAUAACAUCAGGGGAGGACGCCUCCUCUCGUGCGCGGAUGGCAUAUGCUCUAGCGGGAGCACGAGUCUCAGAUCGAACAGCCGUAUCAGAAGUCCCUCUCUGGCCACCACCCCGACCUCCUAAAAUUCUCGGCGGUCUACCUCUAAUCGUUGUUCCACUAUGUCUUGCACCUUGUAUCUUAUUUUUCUCAUCAAGUUCCGUGCAAUCUCUAAUGAAGUGAUCCUUCGAACCGC
This 286-nucleotide long non-coding RNA is filed under the name Gossypium barbadense (sea-island cotton). RNAcentral's name for it is "long non-coding RNA (GBAR_LNC011534)". Lineage: Eukaryota; Viridiplantae; Streptophyta; Magnoliopsida; Malvales; Malvaceae. The record is from RNAcentral.